Molecule: unclassified non-coding RNA, 200 nt
Filed under: soil metagenome
Description: partial contains internal transcribed spacer 2 and large subunit ribosomal RNA
Source: RNAcentral
GUUGAUCGUCUUGUCGCUUUAUUGUCGACUCGGUCUAAAAACAAGAGCUGAAGCUAAGAAUUGUAUUAGCACAGACUUUCGACUUGACGUGAUAAUUAUUUCGUUAAGAACAGAGUUUGUCGACGUUUCUUAAGCGGGCUAACAAAGCAUUACUUUUUACAUUAGACCUCAAAUCAGUCAGGACUACCCGCUGAACUUAA